CCUACGGGAGGCAGCAGUGGGGAAUAUUGGGCAAUGGGCGCAAGCCUGACCCAGCAACGCCGCGUGAAGGAAGAAGGCUUUCGGGUUGUAAACUUCUUUUCUCAGGGACGAAGCAAGUGACGGUACCUGAGGAAUAAGCCACGGCUAACUACGUGCCAGCAGCCGUGGUAAUACGUAGGUGGCAAGUGUUAUCCGGAUUUACUGGGUGUAAAGGAAGUGUAGGCGGGAAAGCAAGUCAGAUGUGAAAACCUUGGGCUCAACCUGGGGCCUGCAUUUGAAACUGUUUUUCUUGAGUACUGGAGAGGCAGGCGGAAUUCCUAGUGUAGCGGUGAAAUGCGUAGAUAUUAGGAGGAACACCAGUGGCGAAGGCGGUCUACUGGACAGCAACUGACGCUGAGGCGCGAAAGCGUGGGGAGCAAACAGGAUUAGAUACCCCAGUAGUC
This 443-nucleotide ribosomal RNA is filed under the name uncultured bacterium. Its description in RNAcentral is "partial 16S ribosomal RNA". It matches the Rfam family "Bacterial small subunit ribosomal RNA", at positions 338 to 795 of the family's 1533-position model. The record is from RNAcentral.